AUUGAACGCUGGCGGCAGGCCUAACACAUGCAAGUCGAGCGGAUGAAGGGAGCUUGCUCCUGGAUUCAGCGGCGGACGGGUGAGUAAUGCCUAGGAAUCUGCCUGGUAGUGGAGGAUAACGUCCGGACAGGGGCGCUAAUACCGCAUACGUCCAGAUGGAGAAAGGGAGGGAUCUUCAGACCUCACGCUAUCAGAUGAGCCUAGGUCGGAUUAGCUAGUUGGUGGGGUAAAGGCCUACCAAGGCGACGAUCCGUAACUGGUCUGAGAGGAUGACCAGCCACACUUGAACUUAGACACGGUCCAGACUCCUACGGGAGGCAGCAGUGGGGAAUCUUGGACAAUGGGCGAAAGCCUGAUCCAGCCAUGCCGCGUGUGUGAAGAAGGUCUUCGGAUUGUAAAGCACUUUUAGUUGGGAAGAAGGGAAGUAAGUUAAACCCUUGCCGUCUUGACGUUACCAACAGAGUAAGCCCCGGCUAACUUCGUG
This 484-nucleotide ribosomal RNA is filed under the name uncultured bacterium. RNAcentral's name for it is "partial 16S ribosomal RNA". It matches the Rfam family "Bacterial small subunit ribosomal RNA", at positions 30 to 507 of the family's 1533-position model. The record is from RNAcentral.